Long non-coding RNA from Nilaparvata lugens (brown planthopper), 289 nucleotides. RefSeq lists it as uncharacterized. The transcript has 2 exons. Lineage: Eukaryota; Metazoa; Arthropoda; Insecta; Hemiptera; Delphacidae. The record is from RefSeq and is a predicted model, not a curated record.
AAGAUAGCAUAAGAAGUCGUAAGGUCGAGAAACUAUUAAAUAUUGGUGUUGUGUAUCAAGUUGAGAUGAUACUGUAUCAUGUGUGGUGAUACUGUAUCAUUUAUGGUGAUACUAUAGAGAAAAGAUGGUAUAAGAAGUCGUAAGGUGGAGGGACUGGAGUAUCCUCAACUGGAGUCGUACGAUUUGAGUCGAGGUAGUGUGAGUUGAGCCUUAAUAUUCUAGUUAUCUUGUGUCAUGUCUUACUAAUAUGUAAACCUGAUUUAAAUUAAUAGAUACCAUGUUCAACAUG